UGCGGAAUUUUAGAUAAUGGAGGGAACUCUGAUCUAGCGACGCCGCGUGCAGGAAGAAGGUCUUCGGAUUGUAAACUGCUGUGGUAAGGGAAAAAUGCUAUGUAGAGUGGAAAGCUACAUAGAGGGAUGGUACCUUACUAGAAAGCCCCGGCUAACUACGUGCCAGCAGCCGCGGUAAUACGUAGGGGGCGAGCGUUACCCGGAAUCACUGGGCGUAAAGGGAGCGUAGGUGGCCUAACAUGUCAACUGUGAAAACCCGGAGCUCAACUCCGGACUUGCAGUUGAAACUGGUAGGCUUGAGGACGGUAGAGGAAGACGGAACUGCCAGUGUAGGGGUAAAAUCCUUAGAUAUUGGCAGGAACGCCGGUGACGAAGGGGGUUUUCUGGGCCGGUUCUGACACUGAUGCUC
RNAcentral lists this ribosomal RNA (409 nucleotides) under uncultured bacterium. RNAcentral describes it as "bacterial SSU rRNA". It matches the Rfam family "Bacterial small subunit ribosomal RNA", at positions 355 to 754 of the family's 1533-position model. The record is from RNAcentral.